Molecule: long non-coding RNA, 2840 nt
Filed under: Brachypodium distachyon (stiff brome)
Lineage: Eukaryota; Viridiplantae; Streptophyta; Magnoliopsida; Poales; Poaceae
Description: long non-coding RNA (BDIS_LNC005251)
Source: RNAcentral
GCCGCUUCCUUCCCGGUGGAGCCCAUGCCGCUCCGGCUGAGGAACACAGGUAAAGUUGCUCGUCUUUUCUCAGGAUAUCAUUCACUGUCAAAGUAUGAGGGGAGAAGCAACUUGCAAAGUUUGCAGCAGCAUUGCGUUGCAUUGCUCUUACUUAUACUGUGGAAUUUUUGUUCCGGCAGGAUUAAUCGGAGACUUGGAGUGCAGGGAUGAGUUGCCGAGCAAGAUGCUUCUUCCUCCGACUAGAUGAACAAAUCAGAGAGGAAGGCCCAAGGCAGGACUUGGUAUGUUUGCAGUGCAGGGCAGGUAUACUUUUUUUCUUCUUUUUCGCCUCAGGUUUUGGUUGAUAGUUGGAUAUCGCAACUCACAAGGUUGCCGUGUGAUCCUGGAACAAAGUGUUCUUUGCUUCGUCCAUGGAGAAGCUAGUUUCAGACCAGAUUAAAAAAAUGUUACUGGUUACUUGGUUGUAUACCUGGCAUGGUGGCCCGGCCCGAAGCCUGACGUCCCGGGCCAGGCUCAGGCCUCCCUUUCCAGUCCCAAGCCCGGCCUGAAAGCCCGAAAUGUCUAAAACGGGUAUUUUUUUAGGAAAACUAGAUAUAAAAAAUCAUUUAUUUACUCGAAAAUAAUUAUUUUAAUACUUAAAUGGCCUAAUUUUGGUGUUUUGGGCCAGGCUCGGGCUUCAGAUUUGACCGUCAGGCUUUUAUGAAGCCCGGCCUGAACAAACCCCAGGUAUACUUGGUUGGAGCAUCUUUGGACUGGAAGUAAUUUUUGUCUGAGCUUCGGUAUUUAGUUGAAAUAUGAACUAAAUACUUCGCUUGAUUAUAAUUUUCCUUCCAUAGAGGAUCCACAAGGAGUGUGUCCUAGUACGUCAAGCAUGAAUCAAGUAACCACUGACAGUACAUAAGUUGUCAUAAACACACUUGACAAUACUAGGCAAAAACUUGAAGAGCUAGCGUUAGAUCAAUUCAUUAGGUGAAUGUACAGACAGCUAUCAGACAUCAGAAUCCAUGGCCACCGUACAACAUCCCACUGCAGGCGCAGUUGAUUGUAACACCAAUGGUGGCUUCCUCAGGGACACAAAAAAAGAGCAGCAGCGGAGUUCAAUCACUUGCUGGCUUGCUGCUGAGCUCAACAUCCUAGUAUAGACAUGGACAAGGGAACACAGCUGACAGAGGCAGCCAGACGAAACUAGGAGCUGUUCGGAUGCCAUAAGUGUUACUCCAUUACUUGUGAGUAGGGUACACAAUCCUUGGAUCAGGCUAAGGAAGCACAAAAAAAAAUGAUGUUGCUUCUGUACAGGGGGAAUCUAGCUCUACCGACCAGAUUAGGAUCUGUUGAUACCUGUUGACCUUGCUGAGGCAUGCCGAAAAUCAGAACUUGCUUCAGUACCCUUCAAUCCCUUUCAGGAGCGUCUCCUGCCUCUUUCCUAGCGCUCAGGUUUCCGGCGUAAGUCCAGACCUUCUCUAGAUCACCAGAAAAGAGCUUCUCAACUUUAACUUCCUGUUUUCCUUGCAAAUUGAUUUUGUUUAGUGGAGGCUGUGCUCUUCUGGGGCUGCCAGUAACUGGAGUGGAGGAGCAGAAAGUGGGUGUAGCAAAAGGAGAGGCAUAUGGUGUGUGCUGAAUUGAGAAUGGGCUUGGAGAGAUUUUCUUCUGGACAGGUAUGCCUACGCCACGAUUGAAGAUUGAAACAGACUCCGCAGCAGCAGACUUCUUUGUGGCAUCGUCCACAUAAAUCACAUCGUCGAUCCUCGCGAUUGUGUUAAAUGCCAAGCUCUCCAGAACCCUUGAGUAACUUUCAAGUAUGGACUGGCCAACAUCCUGAUCAAGAUAAGCCAGAAACAGGGUGAAUACUAUGUUUAAAUGAUUCAUGCAGAAACUUAAAUAAUGUUAACAGGGCAAGGUUCUGAUGAUAAAAGAACUUGUAUGUUUCAGGUCAUGCAAAAGAAGAAUAGCAAUCACUCCAAAACUAUUGUGUUCAAAUGAGUAGAUGUGAAGAAUAACCUUGUUAUACUGGAUCUUGUUCAUGUCAAGGGAAGUUUGUGGCAAACCAGGGUGUCGCAACCUUAAGCUCUGCAACAGACCAUCAGCUCUUUGGGACAAAACAUCACUCUUUGUAUCUCCAACAAGACCCUUCACUUUUCCACCCCAAGAUUUCUUUGAUUUUGCUUGAGGUGAAGAUUUCUUUUGGCCUUUUAGUCUCCAAACAUGGAUCGCAGCCUCUAUUCUGUUUGCUACUUCGAGCGUAUGGUGCUCAGAUGACAGAUCCAAGCAAUCGAGGAGGCAUUCGGGUGAGAAUUGUUCAGCAGUUAUGUAUCGAUAAAUUAUCUCACCCAAGCAAGAUCGACCACUCUGCGAAAAAAAGUAGGACAUUAUAAUGGAUGGAUUGACAGAAAUAUCCAUGAUCGCUGACAACCGAACAAGUAUCCUAUUGGGCAACCAUUAAGCAUGCAAAAUAUAGCACACAAAAUAUCAGUUGUUACCUGAAGAAGAUUCACUUUCCAUAUGUAAUGCAGUAUUACUAGCCAAUUAUAGAAAAAUUAGUAUUCACAUAGUUGGGUGCGAAAUUGCGAAACUGCCUCUUCCACGUGCAUCCCACCGACCAUCGGCAUCCUGUUCGCAGAUUGGUGGCAGACAUCCGUCCGCUCCGCCCCUUCCACGGCUAGAAAGGGCACUGUGUCGAUCAUCAUGCUACGGCCUGGUGGAUCUGGAAGCAUCGCAAUGCAGCCGUCUUCGACAACACGACUCCCAAUGAUGCCUCCCGCGCCGACGCUAGGCUCCAGUCUCGAGCCGCGGCGGUUGGGCUUGGAGCACUGCUCUGCUCCUGGCGGAUACCUAGUUGUGCA